CAAUAGCGUAUAUUUAAGUUGUUGCAGUUAAAAAGCUCGUAGUUGGAUUUCGGGUGGGACGCAGCGGUCUCGCAUUGCGUUUGUACUGCUGCAGCCCUCCUUCUUGCCGGGGGCGGCCUCUCGGACUUCACUGUCUGGGGGUCAGAAUCGGCGAUGUUACUUUGAGUAAAUUAGAGUGUUCAAAGCAAGCUUACGCUCUGAAUAUAAUAGCAUGGGAUAACACGACAGGACUCUGGCCUAUCGUGUUGGUCUAUAGGACCAGAGUAAUGAUUAAGAGGGACAGUCGGGGGCAUUCGUAUUCCGUUGUCAGAGGUGAAAUUCUUGGAUUUACGGAAGACGAACUACUGCGAAAGCAUUUACCAAGGAUGUUUUCAUUAA
RNAcentral lists this ribosomal RNA (378 nucleotides) under uncultured eukaryote. RNAcentral's name for it is "partial 18S ribosomal RNA". It matches the Rfam family "Eukaryotic small subunit ribosomal RNA", at positions 592 to 976 of the family's 1831-position model. The record is from RNAcentral.